AGCGAACGCUGGCGGCAGGCCUAAUACAUGCAAGUCGAACGAACUCUUCGGAGUUAGUGGCGGACGGGUGAGUAACACGUGGGAACGUGCCUUUUGGUUCGGAAUAACUCAGGGAAACUUGUGCUAAUACCGAAUGUGCCCUUCGGGGGAAAGAUUUAUCGCCAUUAGAGCGGCCCGCGUCUGAUUAGCUAGUUGGUGAGGUAACGGCUCACCAAGGCGACGAUCAGUAGCUGGUCUGAGAGGAUGACCAGCCACACUGGGACUGAGACACGGCCCAGACUCCUACGGGAGGCAGCAGUGGGGAAUCUUGCGCAAUGAGCGAAAGCCUGACGCAGCCAUGCCGCGUGAAUGAUGAAGGUCUUAGGAUUGUAAAAUUCUUUCACCGGGGACGAUAAUGACGGUACCCGGAGAAGAAGCCCCGGCUAACUUCGUG
RNAcentral lists this ribosomal RNA (433 nucleotides) under uncultured bacterium. Its description in RNAcentral is "partial 16S ribosomal RNA". It matches the Rfam family "Bacterial small subunit ribosomal RNA", at positions 29 to 507 of the family's 1533-position model. The record is from RNAcentral.